Molecule: transfer RNA, 90 nt
Filed under: Saprospiraceae bacterium
Lineage: Bacteria; Pseudomonadati; Bacteroidota; Saprospiria; Saprospirales; Saprospiraceae
Also listed under: 1 other name
Description: tRNA-Ser
Rfam family: tRNA
About the family: Transfer RNA (tRNA) molecules are approximately 80 nucleotides in length.
Source: RNAcentral
GGAGGAGUGGCAGAGUGGUUGAAUGCACCGGUCUUGAAAACCGACGUACGUGUGAGCGUACCGGGGGUUCGAAUCCCUCCUCCUCCGCCA